Molecule: long non-coding RNA, 1705 nt
Filed under: Homo sapiens (human)
Lineage: Eukaryota; Metazoa; Chordata; Mammalia; Primates; Hominidae
Description: long independently transcribed non-coding RNA 3133 (LINC03133)
Source: RNAcentral
GACUUCUGCACCUCAUCUCUGGGAUGGUUUCAGUGGGUCCUAGAUUGCUUUCUGUGCUCCCUGGGACAGUUGGUGGCACUCUGUGAGACUACUCUGAGGUACCCUUACAAGCUACUCUUAAUUUUCCCCGCUGUUCUGCUUGUUGGACAUGGCAUCAUGCUGCAAUGUUAACAGUCUUUCAAAGCUAAGCGCGGAGGAUGUGAUUCCAUCCCUGGCAGUUCUUAGAUUCCCUUUGGAUUACAGAAGUGAUUUUUAAAGACACUAUUAAUAGAGGUAUUUUAUCUUGGUACAAAAUUAUUUAAAAAAUAGACUUAAACAGAGACUUCCACUUAUGGGUAUAAUAGACUAAGACCCUGUUGGAUGAUUUCUUCACCCUGCAUACAACAACUGUGAGACUGCACGUAAUCAUAUGAUAGUACUGGAGACUGAAGAGAAGAUGACAGGAUCUAAUGGGGGAGUCCAUGCUUGCUUGAAGGAGGAGAGAUAUGGAUCUGGACAACAUGACUAUAGGACAGAGAGGAGACUGAGAAACACAAGAAGCACCAGAGUGGUUGAAAGGAGCUGAAGGUUCAGACAGCAACCUGGACACUAAGGGUCCAAAGCCAAGCCCAAGGUCAAGUAGCUGGACAGAGAAACAGCUGCAAGCACAGACUUGGAUCCUGACCUGAUUUUCUGCAGAAGCAAGUCCCUGUUUAGCCUUCUACUGCCUCCUUUUAGAAUGAAGCCAGACCAGUCCUUUCCAUCAUGGGCUCCUGUGGAAAAUGACCCCAGCUCAGCUCAGUAGUUGAUGGGACAUCUGAUUCAGGUUGGACCCAGCCCAGACAUCUGAUUCAAACAAUAUUCUUCUCCAGGAAUUUUGUAACCAGCACUGGUAAAGGGAGGGAAGUGCUCCCCAGUGGGGAGAGCUGCAGAAUGUGAGACUUGGAAACCAAAGGCCGCCAUGUUUUCUGUCUCAUGAUGGAAUCCAAUCUUCUUUGGCGGGGAAAAUAAAUGAAGCCAACACCAGACAACAUAUAUCAAGCAGGGGCCAUUGCUCCAGCCUGACUCCAGGAAUCAGCAGACAGCGCAGCCUCAUUCUCCACCUGCUCCCUGCAGUACAGCCUCAGAACCACACAGUUGCAGCCAACCAGCUCCUGACAUGGAACUUGAGCAACAAAUGCCCUUUGUUUUUGCAAGUCCCUGAGAUUUGGAAGUUGUUACACAGCAUUCUCUCAGCCAGAAGUGACUGACAUGGUCACUGAGAGGCUGACCCAAGGACAAAAGUUUUUUUUUUCUUUUUUCAAAAAAAACAUGAUCGCACAAAAUUUUCAGUUCGAACAACAAAAUCAGUGGUUGUAAUUUACCAUUUUCAAGGUCACCUAUAGAAGGCUGCAAUAUCUAAAGCCUCUCAGGAAAACAUGAGAACCAGCUGGAAAGGCAUUUUCCCAUGUUCCCACUAUUUUGCUAUGAUAAAUACUGUAUUUGAUUACCUUCUGUUGAAGUUUAUAAAAAGAGAUCAUUCUUUAAUGCUGAGGCCAUUUGCGGAGAGUGAUCCAGUUGGAACCAGUGAUUUCGAGAAUUCCAGACGUGAGAGACUGGAAAGCAAAUCAGAAAAAAGACAAGUGACGAAGUUUUACAGUCAGGAAACAAAAUUCUGAUCUUUUGUUCUUGUUUACUUUCUAUGGCAAUGAAGCAGAAUGCAAAAAUCGGAAAAAAAAAAAAAAAA